GCCAGCAUAGUGAAGUGGUUUAAGGAUUGGACUACAACUCCAGACUCCAGGAUUCAAUUCCCCGUUCGGCCA
Molecule: non-coding RNA, 72 nt
Organism: Phrynosoma platyrhinos (Desert horned lizard)
Lineage: Eukaryota; Metazoa; Chordata; Lepidosauria; Squamata; Phrynosomatidae
Source: the annotation of a GenBank genome assembly